This 138-nucleotide small nucleolar RNA is filed under the name Ornithorhynchus anatinus (platypus). The record is from RNAcentral. Lineage: Eukaryota; Metazoa; Chordata; Mammalia; Monotremata; Ornithorhynchidae.
CCCCUCUCAGGGUCACACCUGGAGAGUUUCCAGUGCUCUACCAGUCUCGACUACAGGAGGGACAGUCAAGCAGAGACAUAUUCAUUCCAUUCCUAGCUUGGGCAGUAGCUAGCGAGUGGAAUGCAAUGUGCUACAAAC